This 806-nucleotide long non-coding RNA is filed under the name Homo sapiens (human). Its description in RNAcentral is "HSALNT0115082". The record is from RNAcentral. Lineage: Eukaryota; Metazoa; Chordata; Mammalia; Primates; Hominidae.
CCCUCCUGCGCGGCCGCGGCUGGCUCUAGGCCCCGGCCUCACAGCGCGGCGCCCCCGAACCCGGCUGCUCCCCCGAGGUCGCGGGCGCCGGCGGGAACCGCAGUAGCGGGAGACAUAGCCGGCCCAGCCGGGCACCGCUCCUUGCCCUCGCCGGAGACUGCCCAGCGCCCUGCGCCUCUCCGCCCCGGCCUGCGGCGCGCUGGGUGGCGACGAGUCGGCCUCGGCGUUGAUCAGCACCAGGUUCCCUCUGUGUGCCGGGCAGUAUGCCAGUUAAUUCAAGUGCAUGUCAGACCCAGAGGGUGACAUCCUGUGACUCAGAUGCUAGGGCCCUUAUGAUGCCUGGUAAGGGAUGAACCGUUGUCCACAUUCUGUUUUCUGAGUCAAAGAGGAGGAAGAUCUGUCCAUCGAAACUGAGCUGCCAAGAUCCACUGCCGUGUCCUUCGGCUUUCUGCUCACAAGACAUCCUGGCCUGCAGGGUGAGGGGUUCUGCCCCCAUCAAAGAGAGAUCAGCUCUGGCCUUGACAGAUAUUGAGCCCCCAUCCUCUUCCACUUGCAAUUUCCUGGUCUUACUUGCUCUGCCACAUCCUGGCCUUGCCUCUAGACGUCUUGCGGGGUGAGAUGACCUUCCUAUUUGUAUUUUUACAUGAAAACUAUAAAUGCCUCUAACCUACCACUGUAUCUGCUCCCUGCUGUCCUGGGCCAUCUGAAACUUACCCUUGGGUAUGUAAUUCUCCAGCUGAAUGUCAAGCAGUUGCUCUGUAAGUAUGUCCACCACCUCUCUCAGUACUGGGUUCUGUGCUUUCCAG